RNAcentral lists this ribosomal RNA (399 nucleotides) under uncultured bacterium. Its description in RNAcentral is "bacterial SSU rRNA". It matches the Rfam family "Bacterial small subunit ribosomal RNA", at positions 358 to 773 of the family's 1533-position model. The record is from RNAcentral.
GGAAUCUUGGACAAUGGGGGCAACCCUGAUCCAGCGACGCCGCGUGGGUGAUGAAGGCCUUCGGGUUGUAAACCCCUUUCCCCGGGGACGAUGAUGACGGUACCCGGCGAAGACGCCCCGGCUAACUCCGUGCCCUCCGCCGCGGUAAGACGGAGGGUGCUAGCGUUGUUCGGAAUCACUGGGCGUAAAGGGCGCGUAGGCGGCCUGGGAAGUCGGCUUGUGAAAGCCCGGGGCUCAACCCCGGAGGUGCGGCCGAUACUCCUAGGCUCGAGGCCGGAAGAGGAGGGUGGAAUACCCAGUGUAGAGGUGAAAUUCGUAGAUAUUGGGUGGAACACCGGUGGCGAAAGCGGCUCUCUGGUCCGGUCCUGACGCUGAGGCGCGAAAGCGUGGGGAGCAAAC